Molecule: ribosomal RNA, 267 nt
Filed under: uncultured bacterium
Lineage: Bacteria
Description: partial 16S ribosomal RNA
Rfam family: Bacterial small subunit ribosomal RNA
Source: RNAcentral
UACGAAGGGGGCUAGCGUUGCUCGGAUUGACUGGGCGUAAAGGGCGCGUAGGCGGUUCGUACAGUCAGACGUGAAAUUCCUGGGCUCAACCUGGGGGCUGCGUUUGAUACGUGCGGACUUGAGUGCGGAAGAGGGUUGUGGAAUUCCCAGUGUAGAGGUGAAAUUCGUAGAUAUUGGGAAGAACACCGGUGGCGAAGGCGGCGACCUGGUCCGAUACUGACGCUGAGGCGCGAAAGCGUGGGGAGCAAACAGGAUUAGAUAACCCCG